UGUGCACCAGACAGGGGGAUUUCUAACUUAAAGGGAGAGUCUGCCUGGCAGUCAAGCUGUGUUUCAUCCCUGCAAUGCCAGGCAGGGGAACUCAGGAGCAGCAUGCCAAGAGAUGAACCCGAGCUCUGGACUGAAAUAAUCUCUUAGUUGAUGUUCCCACAAUCAACUAAUUUGAACAAAGUUAGUUCAAACGCUGAGAAGGAGUGCCUGAGAGUGCCGGAGGAGCCGUGGCCUGGGUGUGCAGAACCUACAUGAGAUUUGUGAGGACGAUGCAACUGUCAACUGAACACUGAGUCCUUGUACACAGGACCCGUUGUGCCUUGGUGAACCUGCCCAGCGGGAGAUACUUCUGACCUGAGUGGAGUGUUUCAGCGUUAACAGGUAAAGGAUGAGAGUCCUUGGACCUGCCAGAGAAAUGUUUCUAAGGAUGACCUUGGACAUACAGAGAUUUUCUCGGAGGUGAUGCUUCAAUGGCAGUGAAGAUCCAAAAGACUAUUAAGUUGGGUUCCUGCUCCUGAGGAAAGAUAGACAGCCCCGUUUUUCUAAGCCUUGAAUAAUUGAAUAGGAAGAAACUCUGGAUGAAAGAAGGCUUUCAGGAAUACCUUUCCAACUCCUACUCACAUGGCCUUCAGGAAGCCAAAUCUCACCAACCUCUCUGCAAACCAAACCCAGAUGGAUGUCCCCAUGGAUGUUUUUGCAGAAAUUAUAAAUACAUUUUCUUAUUUCUCCA
This is a long non-coding RNA of Artibeus jamaicensis (Jamaican fruit-eating bat), 730 nucleotides long. RefSeq lists it as uncharacterized. The record is from RefSeq and is a predicted model, not a curated record. Lineage: Eukaryota; Metazoa; Chordata; Mammalia; Chiroptera; Phyllostomidae. The transcript is spliced from 4 exons.